AGCAUAUCAAUAAGCGGAGGAAAAGAAACCAACAGGGAUUGCCCUAGUAACGGCGAGUGAAGCGGCAACAGCUCAAAUUUGAAAUCUGGUUCCUUCCGGGGCCCGAGUUGUAAUUUGUAGAGGGUGCUUUGGCGUUGGCCAUGGUCUAAGUUCCUUGGAACAGGACGUCACAGAGGGUGAGAAUCCCGUACGUGGCCGUUGGCCUUCGCCAUGUAAAGCCCCUUCGACGAGUCGAGUUGUUUGGGAAUGCAGCUCUAAAUGGGAGGUAAAUUUCUUCUAAAGCUAAAUAUUGGCCAGAGACCGAUAGCGCACAAGUAGAGUGAUCGAAAGAUGAAAAGCACUUUGGAAAGAGAGUCAAAAAGCACGUGAAAUUGUUGAAAGGGAAGCGCUUGCAGCCAGACUUGCCCGUAGUCGCUCAUCUAGGCUUCUGCCUGGUGCACUCUUCUGCGGGCAGGCCAGCAUCAGUUCAGGCGGUCGGAUAAAGGUCUUGGGAAUGUGGCUCUCUUCGGGGAGUGUUAUAGCCCAGGGCGCAAUGCGACCAGCCUGGACUGAGGUCCGCGCAUCUGCUAGGAUGCUGGCGUAAUGGCUGUAAGCGGCCCGUCUUGAAACACGGACCAAGGAGUCUAACAUCUAUGCGAGUGUUUGGGUGUCAAGCCCGAGCGCGCAAUGAAAGUGAACGGAGGUGGGAACCCGCAAGGGCGCACCAUCGACCGAUCCUGAUGUCUUCGGAUGGAUUUGAGUAAGAGCAUAGCUGUUGGGACCCGAAAGAUGGUGAACUAUGCCUGAAUAGGGUGAAGCCAGAGGAAACUCUGGUGGAGGCUCGCAGCGGUUCUGACGUGCAAAUCGAUCGUCAAAUUUGGGCAUAGGGGCGAAAGACUAAUCGAACUAUCUAGUAGCUGGUUCCUGCCGAAGUUUCCCUCAGGAUAGCAGUAACGUUUUCAGUUUUAUGAGGUAAAGCGAAUGAUUAGAGGCCUGGGGGUUGAAACAACCUUCACCUAUUCUCAAACUUUAAAUAUGUAAGAAGUCCUUGUUACUUAAUUGAACGUGGACAUUUGAAUGUACCGUUACUAGUGGGCCAUUUUUG
RNAcentral lists this ribosomal RNA (1084 nucleotides) under Lindgomycetaceae sp. F60-1. Its description in RNAcentral is "eukaryotic LSU rRNA". It matches the Rfam family "Eukaryotic large subunit ribosomal RNA", at positions 37 to 1139 of the family's 3401-position model. Lineage: Eukaryota; Fungi; Ascomycota; Dothideomycetes; Pleosporales; Lindgomycetaceae. The record is from RNAcentral.